RNAcentral lists this ribosomal RNA (1479 nucleotides) under fermentation metagenome. Its description in RNAcentral is "bacterial LSU rRNA". It matches the Rfam family "Bacterial large subunit ribosomal RNA", at positions 1227 to 2677 of the family's 2925-position model. The record is from RNAcentral.
GGUAGGGGAGCGUUCCAUAUGCAUUGAAGGUAUACCGUAAGGAGUGCUGGAGCGUAUGGAAGUGAGAAUGCCGGUAUAAGUAACGAAAAGAAGGGUGAGAAUCCCUUCCGCCGAAAACCCAAGGUUUCCUGAGGAAGGCUCGUCCUCUCAGGGUAAGUCGGGACCUAAGCCGAGGGCGAAAGCCGUAGGCGAUGGACAACUGGUUGAGAUUCCAGUACCACCUGUCUUCGUUUGAGCGAUGGGGUGACGCAGUAAGGUAGGCGCAGCGCACCGUUGGUUGUGUGCGUCCAAGUCUUUAGGGAGUAGCCAUAGGCAAAUCCGUGGCUAUGUUAAUCCUGAGAGGCGACGGGGAGCGAAAUUUAAGUAGCGAACUGGCUGAUCCUACACUGCCAAGAAAAGCCUCUAGCGAGAAGUGCAGGUGCCCGUACCGUAAACCGACACAGGUGGGUGAGGAGAGAAUCCUAAGGCGCGCGAGAGAACCCUCGUUAAGGAACUCGGCAAAAUUACCCCGUAACUUCGGGAUAAGGGGUGCCCCGUUAUCGUGAGCAGAUUUACUCUGCAAAGCGAGAGGGGGCCGCAGUGAAUAGGCCCAAGCGACUGUUUAGCAAAAACACAGGUCUCUGCUAAGCCGCAAGGCGAAGUAUAGGGGCUGACGCCUGCCCAGUGCUGGAAGGUUAAGGGGAUGGGUUAGCCGUAAGGCGAAGCUCUGAACCGAAGCCCCAGUGAACGGCGGCCGUAACUAUAACGGUCCUAAGGUAGCGAAAUUCCUUGUCUGGUAAGUUCAGACCCGCACGAAAGGCGUAACGAUCUGGGCGCUGUCUCGACGAGGGGCUCGGUGAAAUUGUAAUACCGGUGAAGAUGCCGGUUACCUGCGAUAGGACAGAAAGACCCCGUGGAGCUUUACUGCAGCUUGAUAUUGGAUUUUGGUAGUGCAUGUACAGGAUAGGUGGGAGACUAAGAAUCCAGGUCGCAAGGCUUGGAGGAGUCAAUGGUGGGAUACCACUCUUGAAUUGCUGGAAUUCUAACCUGGGCCCGUAAACCGGGUCAGGGACAUUGUCUGGCGGGCAGUUUGACUGGGGCGGUCGCCUCCCAAAGAGUAACGGAGGCGCCCAAAGGUUCCCUCAGCGCGGUUGGAAAUCGCGCGUAUAGAGUGUAAAGGCAGAAGGGAGCUUGACAGCGAGACCAACAAGUCGAGCUGGGACGAAAGUCGGGCUUAGUGAUCCGGCGGUAUCGAGUGGAAGAGCCGUCGCUCAACGGAUAAAAGCUACCCCGGGGAUAACAGGCUUAUCUCCCCCAAGAGUCCACAUCGACGGGGAGGUUUGGCACCUCGAUGUCGGCUCAUCGCAUCCUGGGGCUGUAGUAAGUCCCAAGGGUUGGACUGUUCGUCCAUUAAAGCGGUACGCGAGCUGGGUUCAGAACGUCGCGAGACAGUUCGGUCCCUAUCUGUCGUGGGCGUAGGAGAUUUGAGGAGUGCUGCUC